This 117-nucleotide small nuclear RNA is filed under the name Helianthus annuus (common sunflower). RNAcentral's name for it is "U5 spliceosomal RNA". It matches the Rfam family "U5 spliceosomal RNA". Rfam says of the family: U5 RNA is a component of both types of known spliceosome. The precise function of this molecule is unknown, though it is known that the 5' loop is required for splice site selection and p220 binding, and that both the 3' stem-loop and the Sm site are important for Sm protein binding and cap methylation. The record is from RNAcentral. Lineage: Eukaryota; Viridiplantae; Streptophyta; Magnoliopsida; Asterales; Asteraceae.
AGCCACGCAGUGAGCACAAAACGAACUAUUCUUUCGCCUUUUGCUAUAGAUACCGUGUGCUCGCUACUUCAAGUGACAUGCGCCUACUUUUGGGAGUCCCUUCAUUUAUUAGAAGGC